Molecule: ribosomal RNA, 1329 nt
Filed under: Triticum aestivum (bread wheat)
Lineage: Eukaryota; Viridiplantae; Streptophyta; Magnoliopsida; Poales; Poaceae
Description: partial small subunit ribosomal RNA
Source: RNAcentral
AUGGCUGACAAAUCAACUGCCAUACCUAUCGGUAUCUGUGAGGAUGUGCCCGUUGUUGUUGCUAAUGUUACUAUUUUGACUAACUUUGUUAUACUUGAGAUGCCCGAGGACAACAACAUGUCAAUUAUCCUUGGUAGACCCUUCUUGAACACUGCAGGGGAUGUUAUUGGUUGCAAUAAAAGCAAGGUCACUUUUCAUAUCAAUGGUAAUGAGCAUAGAGUGCACUUUCCGAAGAAACAAUUCCAAGUGAAUGGUAUUAAUGUAUUGAAAAAUCUCCGACAAUCACUAUUGGAAGUUUUCAAAUACCUCUACCUACUGUCCAAAAGAAAUAUGAAAUGCUUAUUGUUUGGGACAUUCAUAUCCCCGUUGAGGAAAAGGAUGAAUAUCUUUAGGAAGUUUGCUUCUAAGAAGAACUCCAAGGGUGUUAUUGGGGAGUCGUCUGACAGUGAUCUCCAUCCUCGGAGGUUGGCAGAGGUACGGCCGUGCGAAUGGCCGCAUACCCAGUUCAUGGAAGAGGCUGGAAUCCUUCAGGAGUUCACACAAUAUGCUGCCAAUGCCGGCCUCACCGACUUCAUUGCAAAUGAAUGUGAACAGUAUCAUCUCCUCACAAACAUCUUUGUUCAAAGUUUUAAUUUCCUUUCUAGGAAUAAUCCUCCUAAGGUGCAGUUUAACUUAUAUGUUGAAACCCGUCAGAUACCACUUACUGAAUUUUGUAACAUAUGCAUGAUCCCUUCUAACGGGAGCUUAGCCGAGACUAGGCCGACAGAGUUUGAGGCCUUUUAUCGCACCUUGACAGUGGGAGAUGAGAGAUGGGUGUCAGCUAUCACUACCACUGGCUUGCAUUUUCCUGUUGUUCAUUACUUUGCUCUUUUCAUUGCAAAAUGCUUGCUUGCUAGAGAGAAGGUGGGUGCACUCAGUUCACCAGACCUUGCUAUUUUACGUCGUGCACUAGAGGGUGACAACACUUAUAACUUGGGAGCUAUUGUGGCUCGUCGCCUCCACAUUAAUAAGUCCAAGGGUAAAAUACAUGGUGGGAUUUUCGCUACUCGUUUGGCGGCUCACUUCAAUAUUGAGAUACGCCUUCAUGAUCACCCUCUUACCAAAGUUUACCUAGAUCACGCAGCCAUGGAUCACCACCAUUUCACUGAUAACAACUCUCCUGGCAUCCCUAUUCCAUAUAACCUGGUUUUUAGUGUGAGGACUCGUGAUAUUAUUCCAUUGCCUGCUCCUGCUUUGUUUGAUCCUGUUGCUAGGGGCAGAUAUAGGAUUAUGUCUGCGGACAUCAUCGCCUACCAAAACAACCAGGUUGUAGCAGAGGAAGACCCCUAG